GGUAAAAUGGCUUAGUGGUAGAGCACCUGUCUAGCAAACAUAAGACCCCGAGUUCAAACUCCAGUACUACCA
Molecule: transfer RNA, 72 nt
Filed under: Dipodomys ordii (Ord's kangaroo rat)
Lineage: Eukaryota; Metazoa; Chordata; Mammalia; Rodentia; Heteromyidae
Rfam family: tRNA
About the family: Transfer RNA (tRNA) molecules are approximately 80 nucleotides in length. Their secondary structure includes four short double-helical elements and three loops (D, anti-codon, and T loops).
Source: Rfam by way of RNAcentral